AUCAAGAAGUACGAAACUCGAGGUUAGACAAAGGGAAGAAUAAAGUUGAAGACUAAGUUGGUGAAUUUGGCUAUAAUUGGUACCGAGGUAAGUUUACGGUAAAUAAAUGCAAUAUUUCAAUAUUUAUUAUCAAUGCUGUUAUUUUCCAGCAACUAUGAAUUUAUUUUAUGAAUUUAUUUGAUGAUGAUCUAAGCAUGAAAUGAUAGAGAAUUAAAAUUAAAAAGUCCCGUUGAUACAUAAGGAUGGUACUGGAUACGAAUGUCAUGACAUUUGGGUAAAGAGGUCCCAUGUAAGACCAUGUCUGGGAUAUGGCAUUGGCACCGAGAUGAGAGGUCCCAUGUAAGACCAUGUCUGGGACAUGGCAUUGGCACCGAGAUGAGAGGUCCCAUGUAAGACCAUGUCUGGGACAUGGCGUUGGCACCGAGAUGAGAGGUCCCCUAUAAGACCAUGUCUGGGACAUGGAAUGGGCACCAACAUGAGAACAUCCCAUGUAAGACCAUGUCUGGGACAUGGCUUUGGCAUGUUAUUAUCAGAAGAGACCCGAGUAUCCUUAUUAUUCCAAUGUAGCUCAACGGGCUUGUAAAUGAAUCAUGUUCAUGAAAGUUCAGUUUAAAGCAUAAAUGGCAAGCUCAGGUAAGUUGUGAGACUUAAGAACUUAUUAUACUAUCAAUUGAUGUUCAACGAUGCAGCAAGGAUUGAGUAAGUUAUGCACACAAGUAUUCUAAGUAAACAAGUAAGAGAACUAGUAUGAGAUUAACUAAAGAGUAAACUAGAGAUAUAGACAUUGAGUUUAAUUAUUUAAGUUAAAUAUUGUUAUUUAUUUGCUAGUAAACUUACUAAGCUUUAUGCUUACUUCUUUUAUUUCUCUUUCUCUUAUAGUAUUGCAAAGCUACUUCAAGGAUCCUAAAGAAGUCGGAGAUCGUCCACACUAUCAACUACAACUGCUCGGUAUUUUAUAUCGAAACACGUUUGAGUUAUGGCAUGUAUAGGGAUUUAGUUAUUUUGUAUGUUUGUAAUGAUGAUUUUGCUAAUGAGUGAUGUGUAAGUAUUUGAUGAUGUAUGGUCAUUAAAAUGGUUAAGGAUGAAGGUGUUUGUUGUUAUGAAAGAUUAGGUGAUAAAUUAUGCAUGGAAAUCAUGAAAGGAUUAAAUUUUGCAAAGAAACAGAAUUCAGGCAGCACAGUGACGUGAAUUUGAAAAAUCACCCAAGAUAGUAUAAAAUGAAUUAGAGGGUUAAUGAUAUAUGGAAUUAAAUCUUGUUGAGUCUAUUUUCAUGGAAAAAUAACGGUGUAGAAAAAGGAAAUUUAUAUUUUAAGAUAUGUGAAUUUUAGUAAGAUAGGGUCAGAACUGUUUUUGGAGUCCCCUGUUCUGAGUUUAGAAAAUAAUUACAAAUUGUAAAAAAAUGGUUAUGAGUUGAAAUUUACAUGCUUAGAUUCCUUAAUGAGUCUAUUUUCUGUAGAAACAAGUAAGAACUUCAUAUGAAAAUCUUACAGUGAGAAAACUUAUUUUUAGUAACAAGAGGUCAGAAUAGUCAAAUGGUGAAACAGGGGAGACUUUAACUAAUAAAAUGUACUAAUUGGCUAAACCAAAAAUUCUAAAAAUUUUAUGGUGAGUAGAUAUAUGAGUCUAGUUUCAGCGAAAAUUUACGGAAUUAAAUUUAGAGUUCUGUAUCUCAAGUUAUAAUUAAUUUAGCAACUGCUGCGCGAUUGGACAGAUUUGCUGUAAAUAGUGAAAUAAAUUUUCAAACCUAGUUUUUAUGCUCCGAAUUGGUAAGAUAAGCUAAGUAAUGCCUCGUGCUCGACUCCGGAAACGGUCUCGGGUAAGGGGUGUUACAUUUUGUUGGUAUCAGAGCAGGUUUAGUCGGUUCUUGGAAAUACUCGGUAUGAAUAAGUGUCUACGUAUACAUGCCAUACUUAUAUAUUUUGAUAGUGUGACGACUCCUGACGAUUUUAAAAUGUUUUCUUUUAUCGUUAUGGAUCCUGAACGAGCUAGUACAGAUGAAGUAGAAAGUAAUGCGC
RNAcentral lists this long non-coding RNA (2015 nucleotides) under Gossypium barbadense (sea-island cotton). Its description in RNAcentral is "long non-coding RNA (GBAR_LNC006781)". Lineage: Eukaryota; Viridiplantae; Streptophyta; Magnoliopsida; Malvales; Malvaceae. The record is from RNAcentral.